GCAUAUCAAUAAGCGGAGGAAAAGAAACCAACAGGGAUUGCCUCAGUAACGGCGAGUGAAGCGGCAAGAGCUCAAAUUUGAAAGCUGGCUCCUUCGGGGUCCGCAUUGUAAUUUGCAGAGGAUGCUUCGGGAGUGGCCCCCAUCUAAGUGCCCUGGAACGGGCCGUCAUAGAGGGUGAGAAUCCCGUCUGGGAUGGGGUGUCCACGCCCGUGUGAAGCUCCUUCGACGAGUCGAGUUGUUUGGGAAUGCAGCUCUAAAUGGGUGGUAAAUUUCAUCUAAAGCUAAAUACUGGCCGGAGACCGAUAGCGCACAAGUAGAGUGAUCGAAAGAUGAAAAGCACUUUGAAAAGAGAGUUAAACAGCACGUGAAAUUGUUGAAAGGGAAGCGCUUGCGACCAGACUCGCCCACGGGGUUCAGCCGGCAUUCGUGCCGGUGUACUUCCCCGCGGGCGGGCCAGCGUCGGUUUGGGCGGCCGGUCAAAGGCCCUCGGAAUGUAACGCCCCCCGGGGCGUCUUAUAGCCGAGGGUGCCAUGCGGCCAGCCCGGACCGAGGAACGCGCUUCGGCUCGGACGCUGGCAUAAUGGUCGUAAGCGACCCGUCUUGAAACACGGACCAAGGAGUCUAACAUCUACGCGAGUGUUCGGGUGUCAAACCCGUGCGCGCAGUGAAAGCGAACGGAGGUGGGAACCCCUCGGGGUGCACCAUCGACCGAUCCUGAUGUCUUCGGAUGGAUUUGAGUAAGAGCGUAGCUGUUGGGACCCGAAAGAUGGUGAACUAUGCCUGAAUAGGGCGAAGCCAGAGGAAACUCUGGUGGAGGCUCGCAGCGGUUCUGACGUGCAAAUCGAUCGUCGAAAUUUGGGUAUAGGGGCGAAAGACUAAUCGAACC
This 886-nucleotide ribosomal RNA is filed under the name Penicillium brasilianum. Its description in RNAcentral is "LSU rRNA". It matches the Rfam family "Eukaryotic large subunit ribosomal RNA", at positions 38 to 941 of the family's 3401-position model. Lineage: Eukaryota; Fungi; Ascomycota; Eurotiomycetes; Eurotiales; Aspergillaceae. The record is from RNAcentral.